RNAcentral lists this transfer RNA (76 nucleotides) under Mobiluncus mulieris 28-1. Its description in RNAcentral is "tRNA-Gln". It matches the Rfam family "tRNA". Rfam says of the family: Transfer RNA (tRNA) molecules are approximately 80 nucleotides in length. Their secondary structure includes four short double-helical elements and three loops (D, anti-codon, and T loops). Lineage: Bacteria; Bacillati; Actinomycetota; Actinomycetes; Actinomycetales; Actinomycetaceae. The record is from RNAcentral.
UUCCGCCCUGGUGUAAUGGCAGCACAGAGGUUUUUGGUACCUUUAGUCUGGGUUCGAAUCCUGGGGGCGGAACUUU